GACGCCGUAGCGCUCAAUAGGCAGAGCCAGCCAAUCCUCCCCCAGGAGUUAGGGCCGGGUCCGGGCUCGAGUCCCGGCGGCGUCG
This 85-nucleotide transfer RNA is filed under the name Nonomuraea sp. RNAcentral describes it as "tRNA-OTHER". Lineage: Bacteria; Bacillati; Actinomycetota; Actinomycetes; Streptosporangiales; Streptosporangiaceae. The record is from RNAcentral.